This 615-nucleotide ribosomal RNA is filed under the name uncultured bacterium. Its description in RNAcentral is "bacterial SSU rRNA". It matches the Rfam family "Bacterial small subunit ribosomal RNA", at positions 36 to 687 of the family's 1533-position model. The record is from RNAcentral.
CUGGCUGUUGCCUAACAAUGCAAGUCGUACGAGAGUUUUUAACUCUAGUGGCGGACGGGUGAGUAACACGUGAGAAUUUGCCUUUAGGAGGGGGACAACAAUUGGAAACGAAUGCUAAUACCCCAUAUGCUUUCGAGUGAAAUGGAUUUAUAUUUAUCCGCCUAGAGAGAAGCUCGCGGCUGAUUAGCUUGUUGGUAAGGUAAGAGCUUACCAAGGCGACGAUCAGUAUCUGGUUUGAGAGGACGAUCAGACACACUGGAACUGAGACACGGUCCAGACUCCUACGGGAGGCAGCAGUGGGGAAUUUUCCGCAAUGGGCGAAAGCCUGACGGAGCAAUACAGCGUGAGGGAAGACUGCCUAUGGGUUGUAAACCUCUUUUUUCAGGGAGGAAUAAAUGACGUGUACCUGAAGAAUAAGCAUCGGCUAACUCCGUGCCAGCAGCCGCGGUAAGACGGAGGAUGCAAGUGUUAUCCGGAAUCACUGGGCGUAAAGCGUCUGUAGGUGGUUUAAUAAGUCAACUGUUAAAUCUUGAGGCUCAACUUCAAAAUCGCAGUCGAAACUAUUAGACUAGAGNUAUAUAGAGGUAAAGGGAAUUUCCAGUGGAGCGGUGAAAU